Molecule: non-coding RNA, 240 nt
Organism: Pelobates cultripes (western spadefoot toad)
Lineage: Eukaryota; Metazoa; Chordata; Amphibia; Anura; Pelobatidae
Source: the annotation of a GenBank genome assembly
AAAAUUAGUGCUUCAGCUACUAGACAAUUUGGAGCGACCAAACCAAUUUUCCUAAAAAUAGGACUUCCGCCAUAUGUCAGUUUGACUCGGCAGAAUUUUGGUAAUGGAUUCGGGAACACAGUCAGAUGAACCACAAGGGUGUAAAGAUUAGCCAAUUAGUGUACUGCAAAAUAUAUAUAUAUAUGUGUUUUGCUGCUAUUUCUUUCAGCAAUCAAGUGGAGAAAAGUAACCAAAGGAGGA